GAUGAACGCUGGCGGCGUGCCUAAUACAUGCAAGUCGAGCGAACAGACGAGGAGCUUGCUCCUCUGAUGUUAGCGGCGGACGGGUGAGUAACACGUGGAUAACCUACCUAUAAGACUGGGAUAACUUCGGGAAACCGUAGCUAAUACCGGAUAAUAUUUUGAACCGCAUGGUUCAAUAGUGAAAGACGGUUUUGCUGUCACUUAUAGAUGGAUCCGCGCUGCAUUAGCUAGUUGGUAAGGUAACGGCUUACCAAGGCAACGAUGCGUAGCCGACCUGAGAGGGUGAUCGGCCACACUGGAACUGAGACACGGUCCAGACUCCUACGGGAGGCAGCAGUAGGGAAUCUUCCGCAAUGGGCGAAAGCCUGACGGAGCAACGCCGCGUGAGUGAUGAAGGUCUUCGGAUCGUAAAACUCUGUUAUUAGGGAAGAACAUAUGUGUAAGUAACUGUGCACGUCUUGACGGUACCUAAUCAGAAAGCCACGGCUAACUACGUG
This 497-nucleotide ribosomal RNA is filed under the name uncultured bacterium. Its description in RNAcentral is "partial 16S ribosomal RNA". It matches the Rfam family "Bacterial small subunit ribosomal RNA", at positions 28 to 507 of the family's 1533-position model. The record is from RNAcentral.